Molecule: ribosomal RNA, 585 nt
Filed under: Aspergillus niger
Lineage: Eukaryota; Fungi; Ascomycota; Eurotiomycetes; Eurotiales; Aspergillaceae
Description: eukaryotic LSU rRNA
Rfam family: 5.8S ribosomal RNA (bases 243-396)
Source: RNAcentral
UGGAUGUAAAAAUUUGUAACAAGGUUUCCGUAGGUGAACCUGCGGAAGGAUCAUUACCGAGUGCGGGUCCUUUGGGCCCAACCUCCCAUCCGUGUCUAUUGUACCCUGUUGCUUCGGCGGGCCCGCCGCUUGUCGGCCGCCGGGGGGGCGCCUCUGCCCCCCGGGCCCGUGCCCGCCGGAGACCCCAACACGAACACUGUCUGAAAGCGUGCAGUCUGAGUUGAUUGAAUGCAAUCAGUUAAAACUUUCAACAAUGGAUCUCUUGGUUCCGGCAUCGAUGAAGAACGCAGCGAAAUGCGAUAACUAAUGUGAAUUGCAGAAUUCAGUGAAUCAUCGAGUCUUUGAACGCACAUUGCGCCCCCUGGUAUUCCGGGGGGCAUGCCUGUCCGAGCGUCAUUGCUGCCCUCAAGCCCGGCUUGUGUGUUGGGUCGCCGUCCCCCUCUCCGGGGGGACGGGCCCGAAAGGCAGCGGCGGCACCGCGUCCGAUCCUCGAGCGUAUGGGGCUUUGUCACAUGCUCUGUAGGAUUGGCCGGCGCCUGCCGACGUUUUCCAACCAUCUUCCAGGUGACCUCGAUCAGUAGUUGA